AGAUACUAUGCCUGUGUCCGUCUCCGAGAACUGCAAAUGAAAGAGGCUAACUUACGUCAACUAUAUAAAUCUUUGGGCUGUUCACUUUAGUCUUGGCUUCACUGAUAUCUUUUUCAAUAAAAUACCCUUUCCUGCAAUGGCUGCACUUGAUGCGCAGAAGGAGGUAUGGCUAUGGGCGGGCUGCCCUGGUUGCAGGCCCGGGCAUGUGGCAUGCUUCAUUGGACCAGACACAAAUUUAGUGCCAGGCGGUUGCAAUUAGGCGAAAAGCGUUGCAUAUUCUGUGGCGUUAAAUUUUCCGUGUGCAAUUAAAAUUUUGGUUUCGGCCAAGAAAAUUUGC
Drosophila montana is the source of this 337-nucleotide long non-coding RNA. RefSeq lists it as uncharacterized. The transcript is spliced from 2 exons. NCBI's taxonomy places the organism in Eukaryota, Metazoa, Arthropoda, Insecta, Diptera, Drosophilidae. The record is from RefSeq and is a predicted model, not a curated record.